Triticum aestivum (bread wheat) is the source of this 1937-nucleotide long non-coding RNA. RefSeq lists it as uncharacterized. Lineage: Eukaryota; Viridiplantae; Streptophyta; Magnoliopsida; Poales; Poaceae. The record is from RefSeq and is a predicted model, not a curated record. The transcript has 2 exons.
GCCACGAGGCCACGACUCACCGCGCCCUUCGCUGUCGCCUCUCCCAUCCCCCACGCCCUCGCCGCCGCUGCCUCUCCAGUCCCCACGCCCUCACCGCUGUCGCCCCUCGCCUCCUACGCCAUCCCGACGGCCUCAUUGCCCCGCGUCGCUCCGGCCACCCUCACCCUCUCACAUCUGCACCGCCGUGGCGCCUCAACUCCAUGCCGCCUCACAACCCCGCUGCAAUCUUCGAAGCCGUCAUAAGAGGCGCAUCAAGGACGUCGACGAGUUCCGCCUCCCCGAGGUCUGGAUCAACGCCAGCAAGCCCCUCCGGGAACCAAGACCCCUCCCCACCCGGAGUCCUCUGCCGUCGACGGAAGUGUAAGCGCACGAGUUGCAGCGGCCAGCGAGUACUCGGAGUAAGACCAAGGACGUCCUGUUGGAGGCGGAGUACAAGGAGAUAAGCGAGAUCAUAAAUUAGUUACGUGAGGUAAGUGUCCGGCACUCAAAGUAUCACAGCAAUCAAAUUGAUGCUAAUUGACUGAUAUACCUUUCCUUUGCAUCCUCCCAAACAAAGUAAGAAGCAACUUCUAUGUGAUAUUAUCUUCCUAGCAGUAAUGAAUAGUAAUAAUCAAAUAGAAUAAGACAAACGUAUAACCCAACUUCUGAUUCUCUUGGUGCAUGUACAUUGUGUUUGUAGCUAUAAUAGACAGUGCUAAAGAUUAAUCAAUUUUGUAACAAAAACAUUUGUAUACUGCUAUUUUCCAACAUGUUUUUGUGACAAUGAAAGGAUUAAACAUCGGUCAUGAUCAUUUUUAACCUGCUUUCCACUUUGUUUGGUGAUUACAGCACAAAUUCUCGCGAUACUGCAAAGGUCGGCUUAGAUGUUUAAUCAUAAUUGUUCUGCUCAAUUGUGUCACACGGCAUUUCUUGGACUACUAUUUGACAGGCCUUUCCAAGUUCCAACAUUAAUCUUUCUAUCCACGGAAUGCAGAUAGCUUAUGAGUUUUCUCUGCAGGUAACCAAACUGAAAUGUGCUUCUCUCUGAAACCCUGAUAUUGUAAAGCUUCUUUGUCAUUCACUGAUUCAAGUAGCAGGAAAAAGCCUUCUUACUCUUUACACAGAUUUGCUAUUUUUGGGAACCAGGUGGAAGAAUCAUCCACAUAUUAUGCCACUAAGGUAACAAAAGUAGUGCCCUUCUAUUUCCACUCUUACUUAGACUAUCCUACUGCAUGGAAACAAAUUUACCAUUUUGAAUAUUUUGUCUAUGCUAUGUAGAACAAGAAGCAGAUCCGCCAUGUACUUUUGUUUCUAUUCUAAAAAAUCCUACCUACAGAAAGAAGCUCUCUUCUGGAUGAAAAAAAAUACAUCCUUGCUUGAGUGCCUGUACUGUUGCAGACAAUAUGUGAUUUUCUGUGUUAUUUGUGUGAUUUACAAAGAAUUUAAAUGGUCAGUGUAAUUAUUAUUUUUAAAACUUUUCGGCAGGGAUCGAGCCAUCUACGUUAAUGUUUUCUUGGGUAAAGAAAUAACCAACUUUCAGGUUCAAGUUAGAUUGCACGAGCAGGGGGUGAGAAGUUUGCGAUGGUUCUUCAUGUAUGUGCCAUUUGGUUUUAUUUGAAAAGACUUUUCAAUGCUUUUUGAAUGUACCGAUUAACUAUUUCAAUGGCAGAUGAAUGCUUAUGAUUGCCUUUUCUUGUGGGUUUUGGAUACUUAUGAUUGCCUUUCGUUGAGGAUUAUGUAAUCAUGUUCGUCAACAGAAUUGUCAAAUGCAAUGCGUCUCGGAAAAACAUGUCAUGACUAUUUCCCUGAUAUUGUUGGAUCCAAGGGGGGAGCAGUCCAACUACACAGAAAGAGAUAUAAGGGCUAUGAGAGGCUGUGAUACUAGGAGAUGCACUUAGAACACUAUAUUACGAGGUGUUCUUAUUGUGUGCCCCAUGGCAUUAUUGGGUCAAUGGAAG